Molecule: long non-coding RNA, 1786 nt
Organism: Apteryx owenii (little spotted kiwi)
Lineage: Eukaryota; Metazoa; Chordata; Aves; Apterygiformes; Apterygidae
Source: Ensembl
AGUUGUGCAACCCACAGGGGCCCUGUCUGUCUGUUGUGCACCCCACAGGACCUCUGUCUGUCCGUCCAGCUCUUUCCUCUUUCUUUUGCUCCCUCUGAUUCAACCACGUCUCAUCUCUUCCAGGCAUUCGCUUUAUUCCAGGACCCGUCAGUGCAGAAUUAGCCCAGCUUUGGCGGUUAUUUCGGCGGUGGGACAUGCCGUGUGGCUGCCGUGCCGGGAGCGUGUGGGUGCAUGAUUGGGGGGGGGGGGUUAUAAAAGCAGGGGCUGGAUGAGAAACCUUACGUCUCUGAUGGGAGCAACUGGGGAUAAAGCCAGGAUGGUGCCGGCACCCACCACCGCCGGGGACGGCACUGGUGCCUCGGCACGUGCUGCGGCUGCUGUGUGCCAUCUCGGGCUGUUUCCCAAGCUCGGAGAGCCUGGGCCGGCCCGGCAAGGCAGCGUUGUGGCUGCUCCGGACACUGUCUCGGAGCAAAGCGCCCCUGCUCAGGGUGCGGGAGAUCCCCCGCGAUGCCGCAGAUGGGAGCUGCCUGGAAAUGCGGCUGCAGCUGGGCGCAACGGGCAGCAGCAACGGCACGGGCUCAGCGCCGCGGCAUGGGGCCGGACUUCGGGACCGCGGUGCGAUUCCCAGAAAGCGAGCGGAGGAGCCUGUUUACUCAGGAGCUGUGAGAAAGGCCGUGCGUGUCUGUCCGGGCCGCUAUCUGCCCCCCUGGGCUGUGCGAAAGGGCUUCGCGGCAGUGCCGGGCCAGCCAGCAGCCUUAUCAGCCCCAAACUUUUAUUUGCCUAAGGGCCGCACACCCUCCGCCGGGGGGGGCUCGUGCCAGCGGCUCCGCGGCCGCCUCCGCUCCCCGGCGACCCCGGGAAGCUCCCGCGGCGCAGAUGAGCUCCGCGCUGUUGUUGUUGGCGUGCGGCGGCGGCAGGUCCCAGCUGCGCCAGCCCCGGCGGUGGAGGGGGGGGGGGGUCACGCCGGGCGCCCCGAGCCGCCUUGUCACAACACGGGAACAAUAGCGGCACGCGGAGCCCCGUUAUCGCAGCCCCGUGCGGCGGCCGCCGCUGCCGGCCGCAGCCUCCCGGCACGGGGGGGGCUCUCGGCCGUCUUGUUUUCCACCUUGCAGGGCCGUUCGGAAAAGCGUGACGCUCCCCCGGCGCCAACAAAAAUAUCAGCCCGGGGCCGGAGAGGAGAGCAAACAAAGUGCUGCCCGGUGGGUAAACAGGCCRCGGGGCCGGCGGCGGCGGCUGCACCGUUACCUUUCGCACUGGCAUUUCCUCCCGGCCGCGCGGCGCUGCUGGGCUUGCAGCUUUGCUCGGGCUCRGGUUCCCCCGUCCUCCCCGUGUCCGAGGCCGCGGAGCCGGGAUGGCUUGGCAGCAGGGCUCCCCGGGGCUCAGCUCAUGCCCCUGCGGGAAAAGGGGUCCCGUGGGGCAGCACGGGGGAGCAGGGCAGGGUUAACCCCCAGAGGGGUCUGCCCCGAUCGUGCAGGAUCCCCGCUGCUCUCCUGCACCCGUGUGGCACGGCCCGGCACGGCUCCCAGACCCCCGCGAGGAGGGGAGCCAAGGGCUGGGGCCGCCGUGCCCGCUGCCUGCCUUGGAUGCUGCCCCGCACGYGGGCGCCUCCCUCCCCGUUUCCUUUGGCAGGCGAUGGCAGCGAUACGGCUCCCCGUCACCCACGUUUCAGCAACGCGGAGGUAUUUUUAGUGUGUCACACCCUCGUCCGAGCAGCCCUCGUCCGAGGCAGCAGGCUCUGCCCUGGGCUCGUUUGGCCGGAGAAACUAAACAACAGCCCGAACCCAUA